CCCGCCGGUAGCCAUCUUCGUGCAUAGGCAAACUUAUUGUAGCUAGACUGUACAAAGUAUAUCAAGAUAUGCCAAAUAUUGAGCUUAACUUCACCUGUUUGAGAGACGUGUUGUGAACCACUUGUCAUGGGAUAACCAAAAUUAAACCUGGAAUCGCAGAAGAAACAAAUUUUUUGAAGAAAUUGGAUGUACUUUUUUAAAAUUUUUCAUUCAACUAAAACUUUGUUAACUGUUUCUUGGUUGUGGUCUUCUCUAAAUUGUAAUCUUUGGCAUUCACUUCCAAAGUAUCCACCACUAAACUUCAUAACAUUUAUUGUGUCUCUUCAUCAUUAAACUUUGAUGAAUUUACAGAGUGUCUUUUGAAAUUAUGUUCUUGAGAAAGCCAGGGGAUUGGACGGUGUCAUGGAAAUGUCAAAGAAAAAGUGACACCUGAGAGAAAAUUUGAAAGAUGAAAGAUGCACUAAAGAGGCCAAUCAGUCAUCCAGACAAGAAUUUACCUCAUGAGAGUCAACUGUGCGCAUCUCUUCCCAACAUUGUGAUUGGUUAUGUCAUGUUGAUAGCUUGAAAUUGGACAUAGUAUGUACAUUUACACCCCAGAAAUCUCAGGUACUACAAACUAAACCUUCCCUUCUCUCAUUCCCCAGUGCUGUUAAUACGGAAACUGGUCUAAUAUGGAAAACAGGUGAACAUGGAGCUGCUUUGUUUGACUCAGGGAUGAGAGAUACCCAGGUCCUAAUUACUUGUCUUUAACUUUCCUUAGGGAGUACUAAUUUGGGAGUCAUUGUUCUAAACAAUUAAAGUGAAGUAACUGUCCUGUUUUUCUCUUUUACCCUUGUGAACGAGGAAGCUCAGGGUUAAAGUCUAUGUCUUUACUUAUACAUUUCUGUGUUGUAGGAUCUUUUAAUAAAGAUUUUCUCCUUUUA
This 923-nucleotide long non-coding RNA is filed under the name Homo sapiens (human). Its description in RNAcentral is "PREDICTED lncRNA (TCONS_00242499)". Lineage: Eukaryota; Metazoa; Chordata; Mammalia; Primates; Hominidae. The record is from RNAcentral.